AUUGAACGCUGGCGGCAUGCUUUACACAUGCAAGUCGAACGGUAACAGGUUAAGCUGACGAGUGGCGAACGGGUGAGUAAUGCAUCGGAACGUGCCCGGUCGUGGGGGAUAACGCAGCGAAAGCUGCGCUAAUACCGCAUACGAUCUGAGGAUGAAAGCGGGGGACCGUAAGGCCUCGCGCGAUCGGAGCGGCCGAUGUCAGAUUAGGUAGUUGGUGGGGUAAAGGCUCACCAAGCCGACGAUCUGUAGCUGGUCUGAGAGGACGACCAGCCACACUGGGACUGAGACACGGCCCAGACUCCUACGGGAGGCAGCAGUGGGGAAUUUUGGACAAUGGGCGCAAGCCUGAUCCAGCAAUGCCGCGUGCAGGAAGAAGGCCUUCGGGUUGUAAACUGCUUUUGUACGGAGCGAAAAAGCUCUCUCUAAUACAGGGGGCUCAUGACGGUACCGUAAGAAUAAGCACCGGCUAACUACGUUCCAGCCGCCGCAGUAA
Molecule: ribosomal RNA, 493 nt
Filed under: uncultured bacterium
Lineage: Bacteria
Description: partial 16S ribosomal RNA
Rfam family: Bacterial small subunit ribosomal RNA
Source: RNAcentral